This is a non-coding RNA of Phasianus colchicus (ring-necked pheasant), 321 nucleotides long. The record is from RefSeq and is a predicted model, not a curated record. Lineage: Eukaryota; Metazoa; Chordata; Aves; Galliformes; Phasianidae.
GUGACUCCACCAUUCCCUGGGCAGCUGUGCCAAUGCCUGUCUGCUCUUUUGGAGAAGAAAUGAUUUGUAACAUCCAACCUUAACCUCCCCUGGCACAACUUAUGGUCAUUAUCUCUCAUCCUAUAGAUCAGGUGUUCAUGUUCCUUCCCUGAUGUGACCUCAAGCACAGCAAGGGGACGAGAUGUGGUGUCUUCGCAUCCAUGCUCUCAGCACUGGAGGGUUUGCUGGAGGAUUAAUGAGGUGAUGCCACAAGGAAGUCAAGUUAAGAACCCUGAACAGCUCCAGCAAAAAAUAAUAAAUAAUAAUCCAAGAGCUUUUAAA